RNAcentral lists this ribosomal RNA (660 nucleotides) under Bacillus sp. SH45. RNAcentral's name for it is "bacterial SSU rRNA". It matches the Rfam family "Bacterial small subunit ribosomal RNA", at positions 104 to 747 of the family's 1533-position model. Lineage: Bacteria; Bacillati; Bacillota; Bacilli; Caryophanales; Bacillaceae. The record is from RNAcentral.
GGGUGAGUAACACGUGGGCAACCUGCCUUGUAGACUGGGAUAACUCCGGGAAACCGGAGCUAAUACCGGAUGAUCAACGGAAUCGCAUGAUUCUGUUGUAAAAGUGGGGAGUAAUCCUCACACUACGAGAUGGGCCCGCGGCGCAUUAGCUAGUUGGUAAGGUAAUGGCUUACCAAGGCAACGAUGCGUAGCCGACCUGAGAGGGUGAUCGGCCACACUGGAACUGAGACACGGUCCAGACUCCUACGGGAGGCAGCAGUAGGGAAUCAUCCGCAAUGGGCGAAAGCCUGACGGUGCAACGCCGCGUGAACGAUGAAGGUUUUCGGAUCGUAAAGUUCUGUUAUGAGGGAAGAACAAGUGCCGUUCAAAUAGGGCGGCACCUUGACGGUACCUCACGAGAAAGCCCCGGCUAACUACGUGCCAGCAGCCGCGGUAAUACGUAGGGGGCAAGCGUUGUCCGGAAUUAUUGGGCGUAAAGCGCGCGCAGGCGGUCUCUUAAGUCUGAUGUGAAAGCCCACGGCUCAACCGUGGAGGGUCAUUGGAAACUGGGAGACUUGAGUGUAGGAGAGGAAAGUGGAAUUCCACGUGUAGCGGUGAAAUGCGUAGAUAUGUGGAGGAACACCAGUGGCGAAGGCGACUUUCUGGCCUACAACUGACGCU